RNAcentral lists this ribosomal RNA (506 nucleotides) under uncultured bacterium. RNAcentral's name for it is "partial 16S ribosomal RNA". It matches the Rfam family "Bacterial small subunit ribosomal RNA", at positions 30 to 523 of the family's 1533-position model. The record is from RNAcentral.
AUUGAACGCUGGCGGCAGGCCUAACACAUGCAAGUCGAACGGCAGCACAGAAGAGCUUGCUCUUUGGGUGGCGAGUGGCGGACGGGUGAGUAAUGUCUGGGAAACUGCCCGAUGGAGGGGGAUAACUACUGGAAACGGUAGCUAAUACCGCAUAACGUCGCGAGACCAAAGUGGGGGACCUUCGGGCCUCACACCAUCGGAUGUGCCCAGAUGGGAUUAGCUAGUAAGUGGGGUAAUGGCUCACCUAGGCGACGAUCCCUAGCUGGUCUGAGAGGAUGACCGGCCCCACUGGAACUGAGACACGGUCCAGACUCCUACGGGAGGCAGCAGUGGGGAAUAUUGCACAAUGGGCGCAAGCCUGAUGCAGCCAUGCCGCGCGUAUGAAGAAGGCCUUCGGGUUGUAAAGUACUUUCAGCGGGGAGGAAGGCGGUGAGGUUAAUAACCUUGCCGAUUGACGUUACCCGCAGAAGAAGCACCGGCUAACUCCGUGCCAGCCGCCGCCGUAA